Molecule: transfer RNA, 70 nt
Filed under: Galbula albirostris
Lineage: Eukaryota; Metazoa; Chordata; Aves; Piciformes; Galbulidae
Description: tRNA-Glu
Rfam family: tRNA
About the family: Transfer RNA (tRNA) molecules are approximately 80 nucleotides in length. Their secondary structure includes four short double-helical elements and three loops (D, anti-codon, and T loops).
Source: RNAcentral
UUCCUAUAGUUGAAAGUAGUCAACGGUGGUUUUUCAAGUCACAGGUCUUGGAUCAAUCCCAAGUAGGAAU